Molecule: ribosomal RNA, 437 nt
Filed under: Anaplasma phagocytophilum
Lineage: Bacteria; Pseudomonadati; Pseudomonadota; Alphaproteobacteria; Rickettsiales; Anaplasmataceae
Description: bacterial SSU rRNA
Rfam family: Bacterial small subunit ribosomal RNA
Source: RNAcentral
AACGAACGCUGGCGGCAAGCUUAACACAUGCAAGUCGAACGGACCGUAUACGCAGCUUGCUGCGUGUAUGGUUAGUGGCAGACGGGUGAGUAAUGCAUAGGAAUCUACCUAGUAGUAUGGGAUAGCCACUAGAAAUGGUGGGUAAUACUGUAUAAUCCCUGCGGGGGAAAGAUUUAUCGCUAUUAGAUGAGCCUAUGUCAGAUUAGCUAGUUGGUGGGGUAAUGGCCUACCAAGGCGGUGAUCUGUAGCUGGUCUGAGAGGAUGAUCAGCCACACUGGAACUGAGACACGGUCCAGACUCCUACGGGAGGCAGCAGUGGGGAAUAUUGGACAAUGGGCGCAAGCCUGAUCCAGCUAUGCCGCGUGAGUGAGGAAGGCCUUAGGGUUGUAAAACUCUUUCAGUAGGGAAGAUAAUGACGGUACCUACAGAAGAAGUCC